This 252-nucleotide ribosomal RNA is filed under the name uncultured bacterium. Its description in RNAcentral is "partial 16S ribosomal RNA". It matches the Rfam family "Bacterial small subunit ribosomal RNA", at positions 524 to 776 of the family's 1533-position model. The record is from RNAcentral.
UACGGAGGAUGCGAGCGUUAUCCGGAUUUAUUGGGUUUAAAGGGUGCGUAGGCGGUCCGGAAGGUCAGCGGUAAAAGCCCGGGGCUCAACCCCGGCGAGCCGUUGAAACUGUCGGACUAGAGACGGCGAGAAGUACGCGGAAUGCGCGGUGUAGCGGUGAAAUGCAUAGAUAUCGCGCAGAACUCCGAUUGCGAAGGCAGCGUACCGGCGCCGGACUGACGCUGAGGCACGAAAGCGUGGGUAUCGAACAGG